This 305-nucleotide ribosomal RNA is filed under the name uncultured bacterium. Its description in RNAcentral is "bacterial SSU rRNA". It matches the Rfam family "Bacterial small subunit ribosomal RNA", at positions 337 to 640 of the family's 1533-position model. The record is from RNAcentral.
UCCUACGGGGCGCAGCAGUGAGGAAUAUUGGUCAAUGGGCGCGAGCCUGAACCAGCCAAGUCGCGUGAGGGAAGACGGUCCUAUGGAUUGUAAACCUCUUUUGUCGGGGAGCAAAAGACGCCACGCGUGGCGUUCCGAGAGUACCCGAAGAAAAAGCAUCGGCUAACUCCGUGCCAGCAGCCGCGGUAAUACGGAGGAUGCGAGCGUUAUCCGGAUUUAUUGGGUUUAAAGGGUGCGCAGGCGGAAGAUCAAGUCAGCGGUAAAAUUGAGAGGGUCAACCACUUCGAGCAGUUGAAACUGGGUUU